AAUUCUCAACCUCACCCAUUUUGUCAUGAAGUGGUCUGUGUAGGCUUGGAUGUGGGGGCUUGCAGGUCCGACCUUUGGGUUGGUCUGCUCCUCUGAAAUGCAUUAGUGGGUUGUGCCCCUAAUCUAUUGGUGUGAUAAUUAUCUACGCCGUGGAUCAGGAUUGGCGAUCAAUGACCUGCUCAUAACCGUCCGUCUCGGACAGCUUUGACAU
This 211-nucleotide unclassified non-coding RNA is filed under the name uncultured Coprinus. Its description in RNAcentral is "sequence contains ITS2". The record is from RNAcentral. Lineage: Eukaryota; Fungi; Basidiomycota; Agaricomycetes; Agaricales; Agaricaceae.